RNAcentral lists this long non-coding RNA (344 nucleotides) under Carica papaya (papaya). RNAcentral describes it as "long non-coding RNA (CPAP_LNC008656)". Lineage: Eukaryota; Viridiplantae; Streptophyta; Magnoliopsida; Brassicales; Caricaceae. The record is from RNAcentral.
AAACACUAGAACCCACCACGAAAUAAAAAUGCAUGCGCACACAUCAAUUCUAUGUACGAACAGAUAAGAAUGCAGACAUUUGGGAGUCUAAUUCUAGGGUUUAUAAAAUGGACCUUGCAUCAUGAGAUUUGGGGAGCUUGUAAUAACCGGCGUGGUGGCCCAAAUCAUCGACGGUGACACCUCCGUUGCCUAUCAAAUUAGGAAACCUGAACCUUUUCUCAACAAUCCUCGGUCCCUCCUCCGCCGGCGCAUCACGAGCGUCGAUGACGUUGACGUCCUUGGGGAAGAGGUUGAGGUCCCUGAUGAGCUUAUCGGCAUGCACAGAGGGGAAGCUCGACCUCCCA